UAUGUUUUCUGAAUUUUUGUUGCGUUUCCGAAUUGUGUGGUUUUUGUUUUGUUUUCAGAAUUGUUAUCUGUUUUGCAUUUCUCGCCACUAUCCAUAACCUUAAAAAAUGAAGGUAAAAUUGAUUCCCCCCUGCAUUAUUGUCACUGGGGUAUAGCACGGUGUCACGAGGCCCUUUUUAGCGGGACUUCAAUUGAUUACACAAACAGAUCCAUCAAAGUCCUCAUCUUCUGGGUCUGAAUUGAACAGCUUUCUUCAUCAAACACACAUGGUUCCCUCUCAUCAUGGUUGAUCACUACCAGCAUACGUAGUGUACGUAUUACGUCCCUGUGUCAACGGGAAAUGGUCUGACAGUCAGCCUCGCGUGUGGAGACUUCAGAAGAUGCCAGACCUCACAAAGAUUUCAGAUGAUGGAAACUAUAGAUGAACACGCAAAGCUGCUAAAUCAUUUUUAUAUUGUAAUCAUUGCCCUAAAAGGGAGGAACUUGUCAGCAAAUCUACUUCACAGCACAUCAGUGAAAGCAGUUAACAGUUACAGACGUGUGUUGGAUCAGGGACAGAUCUGAAUUCUGCAGGUUUCCUGUGAUGACAGUUGAAGAGAUCAGCACAUCAGACCACACUGACUUCUUUGCAUGGGUAGCUGACUACUACUACUAUGUUCUGUGAAGGUAUUAUUAUAGCAAACCUGAGCACCUGUAACAGUGUAAAUGUUGUAAUGAAUAGUCACACAUGCAUAUUUGUAAAUUGAAAGUCACAGAUACAUUUUUUUUUAGUACUAACAAUAUAUGUUUUUUUUUUUACUAAUUCUCUCCAGCAAACACAACACAACAAUUACACCAUUUCACAUUAUGAGGUGCACAAACCCUAUUUUACAAAUAAGAGAACAGUAUAGACCCUUUGCACGUGACGUCACCCUCUAAUCGCGCGAAUUGUGUACGCCAUGACGGACGGCAGAAGAGCUUUGCUGUAGGAUGGACGGCAAGCCAAACGAGUUUGUGUUCGUUCGUGUAAUAAAAUGUUUUUUUGUUUUUUUUACUUGAAAGCACAAUGCAGUGUUAAUGGUCAAACUGUGUAUUUACAAUGUUAAAGUGGCUGAAAACAAUAAAUAUUAUUAUUAGGAAUAAAACUUAUUAGGAAUAAAGCAGUAACGUUAGGAAUAGUUAGGCCUACUACACUACUGUAAUUUUAAUAUCGUCAUUGUGGUGGUACUUGGACAGCCAAAUAUUUUCUGAAGUGGUACUUGGUAUAAAACGUUAUAGACUGCAUUAGAAAGUUGCAUUGGCACACAACGGUAACUUAAGUGGGUAGCCACGAACAACCAGGUCCUUUAAAAACAGGUUAUGUUAAGUUACAAAGAACUGGUAAGCAUCCAGGCUUUUAAAAGCUUUGACCUCAUCACCAGUGUAUGGGGAUACCCCGUUUACCACAUAGUGGUACAGAUUGUGUGGAAUGAAGUCGGGUAGACUCGGCGAUUUAAUGAGGUCCGUGAAAACGGAGGAAAAAGGUAAGGAUCGGUAUCCAAUCCCACGAUCUCCAAGUUCUCCAAAUACCGUUCUUUGUGAGCGCCUACCAGAUGCCCUACCUCGACCGAUAACGGCACGACAGCUUGUUCAAUAGAAGAAGCCAUAAAGUUUAGUGUUUUUUAUUUUAAACUGAUUGAAACUUCCACUACUAUUUAGCUUGUGCUUCCGGUGAUUCUGCCGUCCGUCAUGGCGUCGUCACGUGGUCGUAGUCACGUGUUUGCAAAAGGAUACAAGUGCUCAGUUUAGCCCCUUUCACACUGAGAUUCUAGAUAAUACACGGGUAAUGUGUCCUGGCAAUUGUUCCCGGAUCAUUAGAUUUUGGUUCAUUCACACUGCCAGUGAUUUUCCGGAAUCUGUGUGUGCGUUCACACACAAACCAUAAAGACACAUGACAUUACAAUGUGACGUGUUUUGUUUCACUUAAGCUGGUGAACGAUGUCAGCUUCAGAACGGAUAUUGAGGAACUAACUGAUCUCCACUUCAUUACAGUUUGCACAUAUUUUUUCGUCACAAACAUUGAUCUGCCUUUUUUUAUAGAACCACCGUGCAUUGUGAAAGGGGCUUUAGUCUAGCG
Carassius auratus (goldfish) is the source of this 2094-nucleotide long non-coding RNA. RefSeq lists it as uncharacterized. NCBI's taxonomy places the organism in Eukaryota, Metazoa, Chordata, Actinopteri, Cypriniformes, Cyprinidae. The record is from RefSeq and is a predicted model, not a curated record. The transcript is spliced from 5 exons.